GACGAACGCUCGCGGUGCGCCUAAUACAUGCAAGUUGAGCGCUGAAGGUUGGUACUUGUACCCACUGGAUGAGCAGCGAAAGGGUGCGUAACGCGUGGGGAACCUGCCUUCGAGCGGGGGACACAAUCUGGAAACGAAUGAUAAUACCGCAUAAAAACUUUAAACACAAGUUCUCAGAUUGAAAGAUGCAAUUGCAUUACCCACAGAUGAUCCCGCGUUGUAUUAGCUAGUUGGUGAGGCAAAGGCUCACCAAGGCGAGGAUACAUAGCCGACCUGAGAGGGUGAGCGGCCACAGUGGGACUGAGACGCGGCCCAAACCCGUGCGGGAGGCAGCAGGAGGGAAUCGUCGGCAAUGGACGGAAGGUGGACCGAGCGACACCGCGGGGGAGAAGAAGGUUUUCGGGUCGUAAGACUCAGUUAGUAGAGAAUGACGGUGAGGAAAGUAGAAAGCUCGGCAAGUGACGGUAACUACCCAGAAAGAGACGGCGAACUACGUG
Molecule: ribosomal RNA, 497 nt
Filed under: uncultured bacterium
Lineage: Bacteria
Description: partial 16S ribosomal RNA
Rfam family: Bacterial small subunit ribosomal RNA
Source: RNAcentral